RNAcentral lists this ribosomal RNA (253 nucleotides) under uncultured bacterium. RNAcentral's name for it is "partial 16S ribosomal RNA". It matches the Rfam family "Bacterial small subunit ribosomal RNA", at positions 524 to 776 of the family's 1533-position model. The record is from RNAcentral.
UACGUAGGUGGCAAGCGUUAUCCGGAUUUAUUGGGCGUAAAGGGAACGCAGGCGGUCUUUUAAGUCUGAUGUGAAAGCCUUCGGCUCAACCGUAAAAUUGCAGUUGAAACUGGCAGUCUUGAGUACAGUAGAGGUGGGCGGAAUUCGUGGUGUAGCGGUGAAAUGCUUAGAUAUCACGAAGAACUCCGAUUGCGAAGGCAGCUCACUGGACUGCAACUGACACUGAGGCUCGAAAGUGUGGGUAUCAAACAGG